AGCAGCAAAGUAUGGGGAAUGGAGAUCCCAGCUCUGCAGAGAAAUCUGGCAAGGAAAAGGAGAUAGGAAAAGUGAGGGGAAGGCUGCAAUUUUAAGCUCAGUGCUCAGGGGAGACUCAUGGAGAAGGUGACGUUUGAGCAAGAACUGGGAGGAGGCAGAGCUUCGGGGAGGACCCAGGCCCCAGCCUCCGUCUUUGCCCCACACUAAACAUGACCCAUACAAUUGUGAUCAGGGCAUUCACCCUCUGCCUGGGGGGUAUUGUGAAGGGCAGUGAGUCCAGCUCUGGAGCCCCUGCUGCCCUGGGAGCUGCCCAGUCCCCAGCCCAGCUUUCCCUCUCACCCUCAGGACUCACAUCAACCCUGGUGGGGACAAAAGGCUGCAGCGCUGUUGGGGCUCAAAAUUCCCAGAAGACCACCAUCCACUCAGCCCCUCCUGGGGUGCUUGUGGCCUCCUAUACCCACUUCUGCUCCUCGGACCUGUGCAAUAGUGCCAGCAGCAGCAGCGUCCUGCUGAACUCCCUCCCUCCUCAAGCUGCCCCUGUCCCAGGAGACCGGCAGUGUCCUACCUGUGUGCAGCCCCUUGGAACCUGUUCAAGUGGCUCCCCCCAAAUGACCUGCCCCAGGGGCGCCACUCAUUGUUAUGAUGGGUACAUUCAUCUCUCAGGAGGUGAGGGCUGCAAGCAGGGCCCCAAGGAUGAAGGCGCUGGUGGCCUGGACUCCUGGGUCUGAAGGAGGAGGAGCUGGGGGCCUGGACUCCCGGUCCGAGGGAGGAGGGGCUGGGGGCCUGGACUCCCGGUCCGAGGGAGGAGGGGCUGGGGGCCUGGUCUCCCGGUCCGAGGGUGGAGGGGCUGGGGGCCAGGGCUCCUGGGUCUGAGGAGCUGAGGCUCUGGACUCCUGGGUCUGAGGGAGAAGGGACUGGGGGCCUGGACUCCUGGGUCUGAGGGAGGAGGGGCUGGGGACUUGGGCUCCUGGGUCUGAGGGAGGAGGGGCUGGGGGCCUGGACCCCUGGGUCUGAGGAGCUGGGGCUGGGGGUCAGGGCUCCUCGGUCUGAGGGAGGAGGGUCUGGGGCCUGGACUCCUGGGUUUACAACUUGGCUGGGCUGUACUCUGUGUCCUUUCUGACUUGGUCUUCUCCCUCUAGGUGGGCUGACCUCCACAAUGAGCAUUCAGGGCUGCGUGGCCCAACCUUCCAGCUUCUUGUUGAACCACACCAGACA
RNAcentral lists this long non-coding RNA (1215 nucleotides) under Pan troglodytes (chimpanzee). Its description in RNAcentral is "lncRNA (ENSPTRG00000053559.1)". The record is from RNAcentral. Lineage: Eukaryota; Metazoa; Chordata; Mammalia; Primates; Hominidae.